This 550-nucleotide long non-coding RNA is filed under the name Oryza brachyantha (malo sina). RNAcentral's name for it is "long non-coding RNA (OBRA_LNC001872)". Lineage: Eukaryota; Viridiplantae; Streptophyta; Magnoliopsida; Poales; Poaceae. The record is from RNAcentral.
CACAGCGCUAUUACAAACACUAAACAGUUCACCUCAUACACACUAAACGUAUAACCAUACAUGCUCCUGCUUAGCUAUAUCAACCUUGGAAUUUUCCAUGAAAAUAAACCUACAAUAUUAGAACAAUACACACAAUAAGAAAAUGCGUAUAUAAAAUAAAAAUGGAGAACAAAGAGUAUAAUUAAGAACAUAUAAAGCCUUACAACUAAGUGUGCAUAAUCCUAUCAUGUGCACCCUUUUCUCCCUCACUGUAGAUAAACACCCACACUUGUUAUACUUGCAAUUCAAAUUCCUAUGGGUAGAUCCAUUGUGACCAGCUAACUUAUCUCCAUUCAUCGCUUGAACAUUACUCCCACCACUCUUCAGAAAACAAACCCAACAAAUAACUAAACCAUCAGCAACCUUGCUCAUAGCGAGCUUGUAUUUCUCAUGCAUAUCAUCAUACAUCUUGGAACUAAAGGAUGCUAUGCUUAGUUUGUGUUUGGAUAAAACUAUACUAUUGCAUAUAUAUAGAGCAUCAUAUAUAUGUUUGUUUUGAAGUGGAGAUGAU